RNAcentral lists this ribosomal RNA (253 nucleotides) under uncultured bacterium. RNAcentral describes it as "partial 16S ribosomal RNA". It matches the Rfam family "Bacterial small subunit ribosomal RNA", at positions 524 to 776 of the family's 1533-position model. The record is from RNAcentral.
UACGGGGGGGGCAAGCGUUGUUCGGAAUUACUGGGCGUAAAGGGCGCGUAGGCGGCCUGCUAAGUCGGACGUGAAAUCCCCCGGCUCAACCGGGGAACUGCGUCCGAUACUGGUGGGCUCGAAUCCGGGAGAGGGAUGUGGAAUUCCAGGUGUAGCGGUGAAAUGCGUAGAUAUCGGAAAGAACACCAACGGCGAAAGCACUCUGCUGGGCCGACACUGACACUGAGAGACGAAAGCUAGGGGAGCGAAUGGG